RNAcentral lists this unclassified non-coding RNA (3883 nucleotides) under Eurytemora carolleeae. RNAcentral describes it as "alpha-mannosidase 2". The record is from RNAcentral. Lineage: Eukaryota; Metazoa; Arthropoda; Copepoda; Calanoida; Temoridae.
AAUUAAUUUUUUGUUUCAGAUCUAAGAUGAUUUAAUAAAUAAUAUUAAAAUAUUUUAUUCCACUGACCAGGCUUUUUUAUAAAAGGCUCAAAUUUAAUAACUUUGAUGCAAUCGCACACAAGUGUUCAUUGAAAGACGAAAAUGCGUAUUCGCAAAAAAGCCGCAAUUCUUGGAACCAGUUUCCUUGUCGGAGGAUUCCUUUUCAUUUAUUUACUAUUGGAGGAACCACAGCCAAAUCUUGAUGGAGCUCCUCAGGUUCAGAAAGCUGAUUUUGGUAAUCUGGAGCAGAAACUUAAAAAUUUAGAGUCGGACCUGGAACAGAACGCGAAUAUAAUCUCGGAUCUCAAGGUUGCAGUCAAGAAUAUUGUGAGUGCUAACAAGAAGAACAAGAUUAAAACAGGAGAAGUUCAUGUGAAUAAAACCCUUGCCUCCGUGAACAGAUUAGAUGGAGUAUUUGCCCAGACCCAACCCUCGACCUGUGAUAUUCAGAUGGAAAAGGUUUAUGAUAAAUUAGAAUUUGACAAUCCCGAUGGCGGAGUCUGGAAGCAAGGCUGGGAUAUUAACUAUAAAGAGGAUCAAUGGGAUAAUGAUCCAUUACAGGUGUUCAUUGUUCCGCAUUCUCACAACGAUCCUGGAUGGAUUAAAACAUUUGAAAGUUAUUACAAAGAUCAAACUAAUAAGAUUUUGUCGAUGAUGGUGAAGAAACUAGUUGAGUUUCCUACAAUGAAGUUUAUUUGGGCGGAAAUAUCUUACCUUUCUCUGUGGUGGGCGGAGCAAAAUCCAGAGGUGCGAAGUACAGUCCAUCGUCUGCUAGAAGAGGAGAGGUUGGAGAUUGUUACUGGAGGCUGGGUUAUGCCAGACGAGGCCAGUACUCAUUAUACAGCUAUGCUGGAGCAGCUUAUUCAUGGACAUGAGUGGUGUCAUCAGAAUCUUCAAGGUUACCAACCUAACAGUGGUUGGUCGAUAGAUCCUUUUGGAAUGUCUCCAACUAUGAGCUAUAUUCUCAAAAGAGCUGGCCUGGAUAAUAUGCUUAUACAGAGAACACAUUACUCGGUCAAAAAGAAACUAGCAAAGGACAAAAAUCUUGAGUUUAAUUGGCGUCAGCACUGGGAUCAUAACUCCACUAGUGAUAUGUUCUGCCACAUGAUGCCGUUCUACAGUUACGAUGUUCCGCACACAUGUGGACCUGAUCCCAAGAUUUGCUGCCAGUUUGAUUUCCUCAGAUUACCAGGAAGUCGAGCAAGUUGCCCCUGGAAUGUGCCUCCACGUAAAAUAUCGGCUGAGAACGUAGAGUCCAGGUCCUUGAUGCUGCUGGACCAGUACAGGAAGAAGUCCACGCUAUACCGGUCCAAUGUAGUCCUCAUUCCUCUUGGAGACGAUUUCAGGUGGGAUGGAGAGAAGGAAUGGAAUGAUCAGUAUACUAACUAUCAGAUGAUUAUUGACCAUGUCAACUCCAAUCCUAGACUCAACGCUAAAAUACAGUGGGGAACACUUACAGAUUACUUCAAAGCAGUAAGAGCUAAAUCCUUGGCUAAAACUGGAGAUGAGACACGAAUGUUCCCAACCUUGUCCGGUGAUUUCUUUACUUAUGCAGACCGAGAUGAUCACUAUUGGUCUGGAUACUUUACAAGCAGACCUUUCUGGAAAUCCAUGAAUAGGAUACUAGAGCACUACCUCAGGGGAGCUGAGAUCUUGUUCUCCUUGUCCUGGGCAGAGAUGGAAUACAUUGGUUCAGAUAAAACAGAUCUUGCCAAGGAAUGUAUUGCUAAAUUGGUGUAUGCUCGUCAAUCUCUAGGAUUAUUCCAACAUCAUGAUGGUAUUACAGGAACAGCAAAGGACCAUGUUGUGCUUGACUAUGGACAGAAAAUGCUUCUGAGUAUCAAGGCAAUGCAGUUUGUUAUUCAGCAGUCCACUAACUUUCUUCUUACAACUAAAAAACCUAACUAUACGCCCAGGACUGACACCGCCUACUUUGACCUAGAUGACCUAAGAUCUGAAUCCUGGUCUAUUCCUAAGAAAACUGUGAUUGACGUGGAUAACGCUGGUGGUUUGAGUCGGCUGGUUAUAUACAACAGCCAAGCUAGAAAACGGCAGGAGAUGGUCACUGUUCGCGUCUCUAGUCAUAAUAUAAAGGUGUAUAUGAUGAGUAAGAUUGAAGAUGAGUAUCAGGAUGGGGGUAGGGAGGAGGAGGAGGAGGUGGAACUACCCUGUCAAAUAUCUCCUGUAUUUAUCAAGGAUGGAGAAAUAUCUAACUCAGAGUACGAAUUGACCUUUCUAGCUAAUGUGCCUGCUCUGGCCCUGGAAACCUACUUCCUACGAGGGGUUGGAACUGAGGAGAGUAGAGUAGAGGAACUCAGUGUUCCUACAGUCAGGAUAAUUAACUCAGACAAGGAACCAUAUCAGAUUGCUCCGUUCUCUUCUGUAACUCUGAUGAAACCUGAACCAUUUACUUUGGCAAAUACAUACUUAAAGGCUAAGUUUGGAAGUACAGGUUUACUGGAGGGUUUAACAAACCUGGAUACUGGAGAAACUACUCCAACCCGUCUACAGUUUAUCAAGUAUGGAGCUAGGUCCCAAGGGGAGCGGAGUGGAGCCUACCUCUUCCUACCUGAUGGUCCUGGAUCCGUUGUUCAGUUCCAGGAUCCUGUCAUUAGGAUAGUCCAGGGCAAACUAAUGUCGUACGUUGAGGUAGUAUCUGCUUGGUUGACCCAUCGUGUUUUCCUGCUCAACUCCCCUGGAGUAGAUGGUACUGGGCUCAGUAUACAGAACGAUAUAGAUCUCACCUCCCGUAGGAUGGAUAACUCGGAGAUAUCAAUGCGGUUUACUUCAGGGAUAGAUUCCAAGGAUAUUUUUUACACGGAUCUAAACGGUUUCCAGAUGAUUCGGAGAAAACAUUAUUCUAAGCUGCCCCUUCAAGCCAACUGGUAUCCUGUUGCUACACUCAUGUAUAUUCAGGAUGAGAAGAAUAGACUGUCUCUAGUUUCCAGAUCUCCCCUAGGCGGCAGCAGUCUCAACUCUGGUGAACUGGAGAUAAUGCUGGAUAGAAGAUUAGCACAGGAUGAUAAUAGAGGAUUAUUCCAGGGGGUUCAGGAUAAUAAGGUGACUCGACAUCAGUUCUUCCUUGUUCUUGAGAAGCAGGUUGAAGGAUGUAUCGAGGAACCUGAAGGACCAGCUUCUUAUCCUUCUCUUCUAGUUCUUUCAAUCCGACACUCCAUACUUAAUCCAUUCUUCAGGUUGAUCUACCUAUCUGGGAAUGGUAACUCCUUGUCUACUAAGUAUACUGCUGUACACAAGGACCUGGAUUGUGAUAUUCAUCUUAUUAAUCUUAGAACAAUGACGUUUAAUACUUACAGUCCGACACCAAGUGAUAAAUCUGCUUUAAUCAUCCACAGACAAGGAUUUAAUUCCUGUUAUAAACCGGUGGGGCUAACCUGCCAAACAAGUGGGGGAAAGGUUAGUUUAGACGAAAUGUUCCCAACCCUGUACAGCAGUUCAGUUAACCAGGUGUCUCUCUCCUUAAUGUAUGAAGGGAUGAAGAUGGAGAAAGCAUUUACAGUUUCUAUCCAGCCCAUGGAGAUGUAUUCAUUCAUACUUUCCAGAUGAUCCAGACUACAAACCUUAGAGAGAUUACUGCAUUCACGUACAUUUUAGAGUCUGACAAUAAACAAGAAAGAAAGAAGAAAAUAACUUUCAUUUACCCACAUAAACUUAGGAAAAUGGGAUUUACCUGACAUUUUUAUACGAAUGAUAUUGUAUAUAUAUCCAUUUUAAACAUUACAAUAUGCAUGGUUACCGAAUUAUGAUUAUAAUGAUAUUUACAUAAAUGUGACAGCAUGACGAAUCCGCGAAACUGUCGAAAUAAAACAAACUGCAGAAAAUUGAA